UUGGAGAAGGAAGAUGCUUAGAAGGACCUGAGACAAGGAAGAGCAAAAUCUGAGGGACACUGCAGAGCACCUUCUAGAAUAUGUGAUAUACACAUGGAUUAAAAGGAAUCCAAUAAAGACAUCCUCAACAAGGGACCUGGGCUCUAGCUGGAGCGCUUCUGCUAAUUUGUUAUGAGACCUCUGACUUCAGGCAAAUUGAACUUUUCUGGACCUCAGUUCUUUCAUCUGAAAACAAGUGCAACAAUCCUGCUACCACGAACCAUGGAGGAAAUCUGUGAAAUUAUCCUGAGCAAUUUUCUCCAGUGUAUUUUGGAAAUUAGCCCACCUGGAGACAUAAACCCACAAUUUCCUCUGCUAUUGUCUUAUCACAUUCAUCUUGUCUUAAACGCUGAGCCUCCUGUUGCAGAAAGAAACAGGUUUGAACACCCGAAUCUCAGCAAUGGACUAGAAUAUUUCAGAAGUUUGAAUUCCAGACCCAUUGACUUUCACGGUGGCUUUAAAAGACCAUAAAAACCAACCGAAAGUACUGCAGGGCAUAAACUAACCUGCCAGCAAAGCAUCGCCGAGUGGUGGCAACUCGGAUACGCGUGCAGACUUGAAAAUACAGAGCGCCGAGCCAAAGCCUGAGUUCCUGGGAAACCGCGCGCAGUGUCUCCCAGGAACGUGGUGUGCGUGCGGGCAGGGCUCGGGAAACAAAGCGAGCUCACGCCAGACUCUGCGACCCCCCGGACAGGGCCGUUUCUAACUUUCCUCUCUGUCUCUCCAGGAGUGGCAGGAGGGGCUUGAUGCAGACACCAGAACAAAGACAGCCAGGUCAGAAAUGGUGUGGUCUGUUUCUGCAAGUCCCGGUCUUUGUGACCCGGGGAAAUGGCUUAGCCUCUAGCUUGCCAGCUAGAAAAGAAAAGCCUUUAUUUGCUCAAGUGCUUUGGGAUCUUCAAAGGAAGACUCUGAACUAUUAUUCAAAUAUUUGUACAUCAUUUAGGCUGUGCUCUUCAGACUUCAUUAUGCUCCCCCAAACUUCCCAGGGAGUUUGGAUCACCUAGAAACUUUAGCAUGCCAUCUUCCCUUCCUCCUUCUGCCCUCCCUAAAGCCUCAUCGAAAGCACUGAUCUUUUGAUUAUUGGAGCUUCUGAAACAGAGCCAAGGAUGAGGCUUUAAGUGUCAACGGCGACAAUAUUCAGCGUUACCUUGCUA
Molecule: long non-coding RNA, 1193 nt
Organism: Cebus imitator (Panamanian white-faced capuchin)
Lineage: Eukaryota; Metazoa; Chordata; Mammalia; Primates; Cebidae
Exons: 2
Source: RefSeq, a predicted model, not a curated record